This is a long non-coding RNA of Equus quagga, 4252 nucleotides long. RefSeq lists it as uncharacterized. NCBI's taxonomy places the organism in Eukaryota, Metazoa, Chordata, Mammalia, Perissodactyla, Equidae. The record is from RefSeq and is a predicted model, not a curated record. The transcript is spliced from 5 exons.
UAUUAAAGACAUACAUAGAAACAAGUGACAUUAGAGCAGCCUUCUCAGACAGAGGCGGACACUGUCCCAUCCUGGGGCAUAUCUGAAUCUGGAAGGCACUUUUCUCCCAGAGAAUCCCCUGCAGGGAGAAGUCUGUGCCUGUGACUCACGCAGCUGCAGACAGAAGCUUGCGAGCCCCUUCUUGGAGAAAGAAUGGAUUCUUAACGCAGCGUCCCUGCCAGUGAGCACUGGGAUGAGAAGAGAGGCCACAGCUCUGCUUCUGCUUGGAGGUGGGAAGACUGAGGCUUAGUGAGGCUCAUGGCUUGUCCAAGGUCCCACAGUAAAUGGGAGAAUGGAACCGUCCUGUUUUGGCAUCAAGGGCAGUCGCCUGCAGGUGCUGAAACUGAGGUUUGGAGGAAAAUGAAGAGAAGACUCCACGGAAGAGGAGAUGGAUCCGGGCCCAGACCUCCCCUCCCCACUGGCCGCAGGGUAUUGAAAGUGCUGGACUUAGACCUUUAUCUGCUCUGCAUCUGAUGUUCUGGAGAGUUCUGAAAGCCCCUCGGCUGCUGCAGGAGAUGUGAAUGAAUUUCCUGAGCAAGUCCACUCCCUGGACCAACACUUUAAAGAAUUUUGGGGAUUUGCUCAGAAUCCUAAGACGAGGUCUGAGAGCCCAGGGCUACCAGGUCAAGCACACUUCUUCUAAGACAGCCUGGUAAAAGUGACUUCACUGGCCAGGACACCCUCAUUGACCAGAGGGGAUUCAGUGGGUGCUGUGCGUGAGUGUUGGGAGGGAGGGGAAGGGGGAGAAGGAUAAACUUGAAAUGGUGGGGCAGGGCAGGUAGAAAUCCAAAGGCAUCCUUAAUAUUAGGUAUUUUUUUGUGGUCAUGUUAACUUUUAGGCUUAAAGCACACUCCCUAAGUAGAAGUGAUGGCUUAGGAGCCUUGGGAAUUAGAAGUAACUGUCUUGGCAUAAAAUGAUCAAGUCACAAGCAGAAGCAUGGGAAGAAGCCAGGACCCAGGCCAGGACAACCUGACUGAGCUGUGACUCAGGUCUCAUCUUCCCUCCUGUCUUGGAAGUGGCAGCCACCAUCCUUCAUACAGUGUCCCUCCCCUGGCAAAGUCCUGACCCCGUUAUGUCCUGAACCCAAAGUCAGUUGCUCUAAUGCAACAGAGCAUCCUCCUUCUGAGCACUGAAAGAUGACUAGCCAGCGCUCAGAGCUGACACUAAGCCUCCAAUAAUUAGCUUAAAAUAUGCUCCCAGACUGAUGGACACUCUGGGAAUCCAGAUGGGACACAUUAGAAAAUAAAGGAGAUGACUCAAAUCUGAGAAAAAUGAUUUUUGACUGGAAUAAAAAAAAUGUCCUGUGGGGAGGGCUGCUGUUUAUGCUGCAUCUUGUUCAACCUGGGAGGGCUUCAUGGAGGAAGGAGGCUGGAGGGAAUAGGAGGGAGGCUGUGAACUGAAAGAACUGGAGGUGGGGUGGUGCUGAGGGCUCAGAGAGGUGAAACUCUGCUCUCUCUGCUGGAUCCCCCCAUGAGUCCCCACUGAAGUGGCUCGGGUUGCCAUUCAAAGGAUGGUUCUGUGGGGUGAAACCUCUCAUGGUCCAGUGGGUGGCACUUUUGUUGAUUUUACUCUUGAUGACACACUUUCUCCCACAAUCGUUUCCUGGCAUAGAGACGAGGAGGUGCUUCACUGAUCUGCAGGCCUGGCCAACGGAAUAUGAAACCGAUCUACGUGCCAAUUUGGGGGUGAUGGGAGCUGAAGAAUGACUUCAAUGGGAUCAUUUGGGAUGUUCCGUACUAGAAUCACUCCUGGGUUUUCUGCCAAGAAACAUGUUUUCUGCAACUUUGGAGGCUUGUUCUUUUUGGCAUUACUUCUCUUAAUUCUGGCCAGCCCUUCUGAGUUGCUCCAAAGAGCUCCAGUGCCCAGGCAGCUGCCCUCUCCCUUUCAGCUCCUACAUCAUUAAGACAGGCUCAGGCCACUCUUUGGGCUCUGGAGUGACCUUCUUGGUGCUGAGUGGGAUGUCAGCUAACAGGCAGCACAGCGUUGGCCUGACCUUGGGGGGCGGUGCUGCAGUCUGGAGCCCCCGAGGGUGAGCGUGCAGCACAGCAACACGUUGUGGGCUCCCCUCCAUGCAAGUGAGCCAUGUGUGGGGCUUUGCCCUCAGCUCUCUCAGUCUUUGUCCCAGUCACUCCUGAGCCAUCCAAGGAUGGCUUCCAUGGAGCAGUGAGUGCCUCUCUCUCAGCAGUGCCAUCAUCCAUUCUUUACCAUGUCGUUCCUUUGGGAGAAGGUGCCAAAGAGCAGCUCUGCAGCUGCCUUUUCUGUCAGUUCCAGGGAUGCCUCCUCAGGCCAACAGGCAGGCCAGAGUCUCCCCCAACGGAACCUGCACCAACCAACAAGCAGCCACCUGCUCCAGGAGCUGAGGGGCCCGCCCCUGCUGAUCAAGCCUCAGAAAAUACUCAUCCCCAAGAGCCGCCUGCAUCUGAGCUCCCCUGGGAGAGCUGGGAGGAGCAGCAGCAAGAUGCCCAUCUCCCUGGGCUCCUGCCGUGCUCCUCUGAGCACAGCAGAGGUGUCCUGGAGCACGCUGCCCUCAUGGGAGUCAUCCCAACCCCAGCGUCUGUGGUGAGCAUGGCAUGGCAGGAAAGGGGAACUGUCACCAACUCACAGCCAUCUCUCCUAUCUUCUCCAUGCUCCCUAGACCCCAUCCCGACCUUUUCUAGUGUGGGCUGGAAAGUCCAGGCCAGGAUUCUAACUGCAAGCUCUGCCCCUGUCAGCGGCUCUCACUGUGUCCUCAGAAAGAUCUUUCUAACUCACUACAUCCUGUUUAUCACUGUGUCAUCAGAAAGGUCUUUCUCCAUAUCCAAUUUCUUAACAAAACUAGACUUAGGAAGGAAAAGAAUGUCCUGAGAAGGCUGAGUUUACAGCAAGGACUAAUGAGGUAUUGGAUGACUCUCUGUUCCUAUAAGUCUUUAGGAAGAGGACAGGCUGCCUGCCAUUGAAUAGGAGCACCUGGGGACAGCACAACUCUGAGGACAGCCCACUCAUAAUAUUUGCAGGGUCCAGGGCACAAGCACACAUGGAGGCCUACCCACCUUGCAUCCACUUAUUGAAAGGUUAUAAGUCAAGUUAGCAAACUGUGAAAUAAGUAUGUUCUAUCAUCCUGCCCUGACAAGUGCACCCUCAUAGCAACCUGCUAGCCGGCUGGCAUUUAGAAUUCCCUCACUCCUUGGAUUCUGUGCUCAAAUGCGGUGGCACAGAGAGAGCAGGCCUCAGCUCACAGCCCUGCUUUCCUCACUUGGCUCCACCACACAAGAUAAGAGCCUUGGGUGCACGCUAGUGGAUGCCCAGUCUGCACACCCAAGCUCUGUACACCCCUCCUCCAUGAACAUCUGCCCUUGGCCACUCCUUGGCUGGGCCUAGGGGUAGACACCUGGGGAAAUGGCCUGCACAGGCUCUGCAAGUGACCAUUUGGGCAGGAAGGCCAGGGUGUUGGAAUAAGAGUGUGGUCCUGGAAAGAGGGCUGUAGCUCCAGGUCAGAUGUCCCCUUGGACCCAUAGACUCCUUGCCACAUGCGGGGAGGGCAUACCCAGAAGAGGACUAGAGUGGAUCCCUCUAGCCAGGCCUAAAGGUGGUCCUGGGCACUUCAACCACUCACUCUGUCCUCUAUUGACAAGUGAUCAGAAGGUGGCCCUUUGAGCCUUGGAAAUGGUGCCUUUAUGUUCUCCUGUCCAUGUUCUCCCUCUCACCCCUGUGCUCCAAUGCUCUAUCAGUCAGACUCCCACCAGGAGACAAAGGGCACAAUCAGAUUAGAUAAUUUGCAAAGGUAGAGAUGGAAUAUAAGGCAACCACAAUGGAUAUGUAGUAACCCAGAGAUAGUAAGAGUGGAGGAGCCAUUUCGACUCUUAGGUCCAAGGACUAGGGGAGUGAAGAGAUACUGGAACCCAGGAGGAGAGAGUCAUGUGGAAAAGGAUGAUUUGCAAAGUGCAGGGACCUUGGUUGAGGGAUAUAACCAAGCUAAGGUGCCUCCCAGGUAGGGAGCCAGGAAAUUAAAGAUCAUGGCCUCACUCUCCUUCCUCCCUCUAAUUUCCUACUGGUGCUCUUCAUGGGCCAAACUCAACCAAGGCCAGACGGCACAGGAAGUUGAUGUAGCCCAUAAAGGUCGGCCUCCUGGGGCUGAGCAUAGGAUAGAGAGGGGUGAAGGUGGGUCUUGAAGGGAAACAGAAAAUAUCCGGCACAGACACUAAAUAAUGACUCGGAUAGAAAUGAUCAGUAACAG